GACGAACGCUGGCGGCGUGCCUAACACAUGCAAGUCGAACGGAAACCUCCUGCCUUGGUGCGCACCGCUUGGGGACAAGGGGGGAGCUACCCUUGAGUUACGAAUACCUCACCUAGAGGGGUCCUCAUGCCACAUGAGCUCAUACCGGCAAAGAUUUAUCGCCUUUGGAUGGGCCCGCGUUGGAUUAGGUAGUUGGUAGGGUAAAAGCCGACCAAGGCGACGAUGCAUAGCUGGUAUGAGAGGAUGAUCAGCCACACUGGGACUGAGACACGGCCCAGACUCCUACGGGAGGCAGCAGUGGGGAAUAUUGGACAAGGGGCGAAAGCCUGAUCCAGCAAUGCCGCGUGAGUGAUGAAGGCCUUAGGGUUGUAAAGCUCUUUUACCCGGGAUGAUAAUGACAGUACCGGGAGAAUAAGCUCCGGCUAACUCCGUG
This 433-nucleotide ribosomal RNA is filed under the name uncultured bacterium. Its description in RNAcentral is "partial 16S ribosomal RNA". It matches the Rfam family "Bacterial small subunit ribosomal RNA", at positions 28 to 507 of the family's 1533-position model. The record is from RNAcentral.